UUUUUUUUUUUUUUUUUUUUUUUUUUUGCCUUUGCUUUUAUCUUUUUAAUUCCAAGGGCCCAUCUGGCUGGGGCUAUUUAACCCAUAGGGUAAAAAAAGUUUUACUUAAAAUAUGUCUCAGCCACUAUUUUUUUUUCUUAGCAAGAAAUAAGAGGAGAGUGAUAACUGCACCUUGAGGGAAUAAAGCUAGCAAUUGUGGAAAAAAUCCUUGGCAGUAUUGGGAUUCCUUGGACACUGAAAUUGGUUGCCAAAUACUGAAUCAGACUUUUUUUUGCCUAAAGGUGAACUUAACUAUAAGUUGAGGGAUGAGAGUAUAGACAGGAUGAUUUCUAUAGCCCCUUGAAAGCUGUGUUUGGCAAAGAAUGGUCUGAGAACACACAUGAAAAUUGUCUGGGGUGCUUCAGGGGGGAUUUGCAUUCUUAACAAAUUGUCUUUAUCAUUUAUGGUCCAGUCAGAGAAACUGCAGUUGAAGAGAAAUUUAAGGCAAGCAAUCAGUUAUUAUAUUGGUAUUCUGUUGUGGGGUAACAAAACAACCUAAAAUGAGUAGCUUAAAAGAAAAAUUGCUUAUUGUUGCUCACCAGUCUACUGGCCAACUGGAUCAUUCUUCUGAUCUUGACUGGGCUCCCUCCUGUGUCUGUAGUAGUUGUCAGGCCAGGUAGGUAGCUUGGAUUCUGGGAUCUGCUUAUUGGCUGGGGUGCUUGGGUCCUCGUCCAUGAGAGACAGGGGGUCCUCCUCCAGCUGAUUAGCCCAGGCUCAUUCACAUGGCAAAUGAGUGGGAUUCCAAAAGGAAGCACACAAAGUCUUCAGGUCUGGAAUCAGAACUGGAACAAAAUUGCUUAUACUAAAACUUGUUGACCCAAGUAGGAAGGCCAGCCCAGACUUAUCUCUCAAGUUGACUCCGGUUUGGGAUGGGAGGAGCUUUAUAAUUGGAAAGGAGAAUAGUGAGGGAUUAAUUGAGACCAUUUUACCAACACUUUACCAUAGUUACAAUGGUGUUAGGAAGGCUGGAGGAGCAAGUGAAAGAAAGGGUGUGCUAAGGAUUAGAAAGGAUCAGGAGAAAUCAUUUGAUGAGGAAGCUGCUAGUCUGGAGCACAUACAGGCAGUGCUGAGUCCUUGGAGGGAGGGUACCUUGCUGCUAAUGGUACUUCUGGAAUUGCUAAAGAAGUACCACCUAUGCUCAUGCUGGAAUCAGAAUGACUUCUCCUCUAUGGCUGUCAGUGGUUUACAUGAGCUGAACCUAACCAAAUGCCCCUGGUAAGAAAACCUGGGACAUCCAGCUUGGAGGCUUCUAGGCCCAACAGUAUAGAAUAGGGGAUAGAAGGGAGAAUGUGAGGCUUCAAGCAGAUAAACAAUUGCCAUUCUCCUGUGGAAUUCUCACCACAUUAAACAUUUUGAGACCUAUUGCUAUAAUAUUCUGUGAUUCUAGAGGAAUAGUGAAAUGCAAGCCUCAUUCCAGAGAUAAACACUGGCUGAGUCAACUGAGGAUUGGUAUAGAAUUCCUAGGGAAUUAUUCUUGCUGAUUUUGACCUGUAAGUUGGUGGGCAAUAGGGAUGUGGGUAACAUAACUAGCUUGAAUGGAUAAGACGUCAGAUUUCAGCCCCAUACAUUAUUAUGUCAAAGGAGAUUAUCUGCAUGGAGAAGCCAUCAACAUAAAAAUCUUGAUGUUUGCCAUCUCAUCCGUUGCUUGCCUGAUGGUCCUAGCCAUCAGCACAGAGUAUCUGCCUGCAGGUGUACGUGAGUGGGGUAUAGAGAGGCAGGCAAUCAGAGCAAAAAAAAAGUGAGGAUAUUAAUCAAAUGGAGAUGAUUAGGCAAAAAGUCAGUCUGUUAAAGGUCGAUAAAAAGACAACUCUGGAUUCAUUAGUGAGGAGAAGGAAUUUGCAGGAGUAUUGAUAGAGAAAUCCAGUAGUUUCCACGUAAGAGUCAGAUAAUGACUAACUACUACAGCUGUGGGGACACCUAAAUAAUGGGGCAAGGGGUGGGAAGGCAGAAGGCAUUGUGACAAAUAGUACAAGGAUGACUCCACGACUAGGGAGUUUAUAAAAAUUAUACACGGAACACAGAAGCCUAAUUAUGGAUCCUGAAGAUAUUUAAAUAUGUAAUGGACUGAUCUGGCACAAAUAGAUUUUAAAUAUGCAUUACUUUCUUGUAAAAAAAAACCUACUUAACAGUGAUAUUUAUACUGGGGCUUAAUCAAUUAGUAUGUGAAAUUGGCCUGCAAAUGUGAAAAAAUAUAGCUAUAUAAACCUAGCUCCUCAAGGCAUUUCAGAAAUGAUCUACUUCUCCCCUCCUUGUGCAUAUGAUAACACCAGUCCAGAAAGGUGGAGUGGCUGGUUUGAAGUCAAACAGCUGAUUAAAGACAAAAUCAAUACCAGAAGUCAGCUUGCAUGAUUCCCAGCUGGGUGGGUUUCUAUCCGUUUACCAUAAUUUGUACCUUGCAUUUUGACAGAGGCCAGGUUCGUAUCUAAAUGAAACUUAAAGACUAUGUUUUCUAGAUUCAUCAGACUCACCCAUGGGUACUUGUUCAAAAUAUAUCUGCCUGGACCCCAGCCUAAAACUUGAGAGGCAGAAUUCUGGGGUAGAAGAACAAAGCCUUAGGAGCAUAUACCAAAAAACUUAAGCGUUUCUGAUGAACCACCCUGUUUCCCUUGCCCAAUUCUGUGUAAGGACGUAGUUUUAGGCAUUGGUUGGCAGAAGAGAAAAUUCUUUUCAGAUGUCUACACACUUCCAGUUAGGCAAGGCUUUUGACUGAGUGAUUUCCUGAGAGGUUCACAUGUGGGACACUCUCAGAAAUCUCCAUGGAUCCAUUCUUUGAACUGAGAAGAGCAAUAUUGAAGGUGUAGCUUAGGCCAUCAGGUUGGGUCCGCCAAGUAUCUGCAGUCCAGGAAAUUAUACAACGAUAUCCAGGUCAGGACACCUCAAGUAUUGAUCCUCAAGUACCAGGCUGUUAGUGUUUACC
Molecule: long non-coding RNA, 2956 nt
Filed under: Canis lupus familiaris (dog)
Lineage: Eukaryota; Metazoa; Chordata; Mammalia; Carnivora; Canidae
Description: lncRNA (ENSCAFG00845001020.1)
Source: RNAcentral